Molecule: transfer RNA, 85 nt
Filed under: Felis catus (domestic cat)
Lineage: Eukaryota; Metazoa; Chordata; Mammalia; Carnivora; Felidae
Also listed under: 1 other name
Rfam family: tRNA
About the family: Transfer RNA (tRNA) molecules are approximately 80 nucleotides in length.
Source: Rfam by way of RNAcentral
GCAUGGGUGGCUCAGUCGGUUGAGCGUCUGACUUCAACUCAGGUCAUGAUCUCAUGGUUUGUGGGUUCGAGCCCCGCAUCGGGCU